GAUGAAGAACGUAGCGAAAUGCGAUAAGUAAUGUGAAUUGCAGAAUUCAGUGAAUCAUCGAAUCUUUGAACGCACAUUGCGCCCCCUGGUAUUCCGGGGGGCAUGCCUGUCCGAGCGUCAUUACAACCCUCAAGCUCAGCUUGGUGUUGGGCCCCGCCGUCCCGGCGGGCCCUAAAGUCAGUGGCGGUGCCGUCCGGCUCCGAGCGUAGUAAUUCUUCUCGCUCUGGAGGUCCGGUCGUGUGCUCGCCAGCAACCCCCAAUUUUUUCAGGUUGACCUCGGAUCAGGUAGGGAUACCCGCUGAACUUAAGCAUAUCAAUAAGCGGAGGA
RNAcentral lists this unclassified non-coding RNA (328 nucleotides) under soil metagenome. Its description in RNAcentral is "partial contains 5.8S ribosomal RNA, internal transcribed spacer 2, and large subunit ribosomal RNA". The stretch from base 1 to 120 matches the Rfam family "5.8S ribosomal RNA", at positions 35 to 154 of the family's 154-position model. The record is from RNAcentral.